GUUAGCCUAAAUAAGAAUUAAGUUGAUUCAUCUUAAAGAGGGAUAUAUAAGGUUUUUCUUAAGACACAAACAUCAUAAGUUCAUGUUUUAAGAAAAACUAGAGAGAAGUUAGAGAGAAGGUUUUUGGAACCUAAAGCUUACUUCUCCCUCUUUUCUACUAAAAAAUCCUUUCUUCUUUCUUUCCUACAUUUGACCCAAGGUGAUUAUUUGGAGAUUGAGCUAUUUGAAGUAAGAAUCUUGAGUUGGAGUCAUAUGGAGUCUUCUUCUUCUUCUUCUCCUCUUCUCGGUUAAUCGACUAGAGGUUCUAUUUUCACCUUCAGUGUCUCCAGUCUAGCAAAGCAAGGAGGUUGAUUUUUCAUUGUAGCAAGAUUUGAUAGAAUCUACACAAUUAGAGUGAAUUGGAGACAUUUUAGUGGAUAUUGUGAAAUGCAAGAUGGAUAAAUAUAUCCAAAACUAUUGAAAUAAGAAUGCAAACGCCAUAUGAGCAUUAUUAUGAACAUAAAAAAGAGGAGAAAACAAACUAAAGUAACUUACUUUCAACAUCAUCUGAAGGAUAUAUGAAGAGAGAGUCAAUAUCUUCACAUUAGUGAGCAGCUGCAGCCAACUCACAAUGACCGAGUAAUACAUACCAAAACUGAUGUCAAUUUUCACUUCUUCAAGAAAUGAAAGAUUGCACAUGAAGGAGAGUCUGUGACUACUCAAACAACUUGUGACAGUGAGAGAUGUAAGAUUUGGAGUAGAAAGCGCGAUUUCGUACUUUUCUUCUCCAAAGAUUUUCAGCUUCAAACUGGAAAGGCUAGAAUUAGAUAUGCAGAGGACUUUUGCAUCAUUGCCCAAAGAACAACCCUUGAGGACCAACCUACUCAACAUGUUACAUGUUGAAAAGGGCUCAGCGCAAUCAUUGUCUUGUGCAGUGAAAUUGACAUUGGUGAGAUACAAUGUUUUUAAUGCUGGCAGAUGCAGAGAUUUUGGGAGUUCCAAAGCAUGGUCAUAAGAAUUAA
Molecule: non-coding RNA, 1001 nt
Organism: Cajanus cajan (pigeon pea)
Lineage: Eukaryota; Viridiplantae; Streptophyta; Magnoliopsida; Fabales; Fabaceae
Source: RefSeq, a predicted model, not a curated record